CGGGUGCGACGUGUUUCAGGUGCCCGAAGGCGAACCUCGCCGGAAGGUUAAACGGGAAACAGGUGCGCGAACGGUCGUCCGACAGGGCCUUCGCCAUGCCUGUGCUGCCCCCGCAACGGUAAGUGGACGCAAGGCGCAUCCAACCGCCACUGGACGACCAGUCCGGGAAGGCGAUGCGACCGGUCCGGCAUUCCCCGACGGGACGCCGGUCAGCCCACGAGCCCGGAUACCGGCCCGAACGCGCUAUGGCUG
Molecule: non-coding RNA, 252 nt
Filed under: Aromatoleum aromaticum EbN1
Lineage: Bacteria; Pseudomonadati; Pseudomonadota; Betaproteobacteria; Rhodocyclales; Rhodocyclaceae
Also listed under: 1 other name
Source: RNAcentral